GCUGUGUAUGAGCAUCACCCGAGACCCAAGCAGUUGAUAGUGGAAAACGACCUCCCUCAGAAGCUGCAGAAUUUAAUCGAAGAGCGGAGAGAUGGGCAGCGGUCUGGUGGACAGGUCUUGGUGAAACAAAUGGCCACAGCAUUACUGAAAGCACUUCAUAUUAAUACUGUCCUAUAAUCGAAGGAUGGUCUCGCUGUUCUCUCAUGUUGUAUAGUUGGUUCACCCAUUGAAGAUGUAAU
This 239-nucleotide unclassified non-coding RNA is filed under the name Hevea brasiliensis (rubber tree). Lineage: Eukaryota; Viridiplantae; Streptophyta; Magnoliopsida; Malpighiales; Euphorbiaceae. The record is from RNAcentral.